This 734-nucleotide long non-coding RNA is filed under the name Pongo abelii (Sumatran orangutan). RNAcentral describes it as "lincRNA". The record is from RNAcentral. Lineage: Eukaryota; Metazoa; Chordata; Mammalia; Primates; Hominidae.
GUGAGGUAGAACCACCAUGGAAAUUUCACUUGGGAGCAGGGUGAACAAGCAAGGUCUAUGGAAGGCAAACUGUAGCAACUAGAUGGUAAGGUUGAUGAGAGAAAAUUUGAGACUCUCUGCUAUAAUUUGCAACAUUGUUUUGCCACCUAAAUGUCGGACACAGCACAUAGGCACUUGCUAAAAUGAAUAGAAAAAAGUGAGGUCCACCAUCAAUUCCAACAUUAAGAACUCGUAUUUUAGUUGGAAAGAAAUGCACAGUUUGGAAUCCUAUGUAAUCAAGAUAAGAGAACAACAAUUUUCCAAAUGCUUUCCGUGGUGGGCCAGCGUGGAAACUUAACUCUCUCACACAGACAGCAAGAUUACACUCUGACACCAAGCCCUGCCCUUGUGGGAAGUAUGAUAAGCCUCAAGGCAAACAAUUCUUCCUUCACAAUUGCAGUCUGGGCACCUGACAACAUAGAAUGACUCAUUGGACUCCUGCCUCUUCUACUUCAUUCUUACCAUGAGCUCCCCUAGAAGAUGUAGUCUUCCACCAUUACCAAAAUCUGCAACCAGAAAGAUCAAGCUCUAGGAAGCAGCACACACUAUACUCCUGUGUGGAAACAAAGUAAUCCUCAUCAGAUCAUCUAACUUGCUGUUGCUGUAAGGACUGUGAAUUGGUAGCAAUAAAUAAGGCAUGGGAAAUAGGAGGGAAAACACCAUCAAUGACAAUAAAAACUGAAUGUGAAAUUUGA